RNAcentral lists this ribosomal RNA (497 nucleotides) under uncultured bacterium. RNAcentral describes it as "partial 16S ribosomal RNA". It matches the Rfam family "Bacterial small subunit ribosomal RNA", at positions 28 to 507 of the family's 1533-position model. The record is from RNAcentral.
GAUGAACGCUGGCGGCGUGCCUAAUACAUGCAAGUCGAGCGAAUAGACGAGGAGCUUGCUCCUCUGACGUUAGCGGCGGACGGGUGAGUAACACGUGGAUAACCUACCUAUAAGACUGGGAUAACUUCGGGAAACCGGAGCUAAUACCGGCUAAUAUCUUGAACCGCAUGGUUCAAUAGUGAACGACGGUUUUGCUGUCACUUAUAGAUGGAUCCGCGCCGCAUUAGCUAGUUGGUAAGGUAACGGCUUACCAAGGCAACGAUGCGUAGCAGACCUGAGAGGGUGAUCGGCCACACUGGAACUGAGACACGGUCCAGACUCCUACGGGAGGCAGCAGUAGGGAAUCUUCCGCAAUGGGCGAAAGCUUGACGGAGCAACGCCGCGUGUGUGAUGAAGGUCUUCGGAUCGUAAAACUCUGUUAUCAGGGAAGAACAACUGUGUAAGUAACUAUGCACGUCUUGACGGUACCUAAUCAGAAAGCCCCGGCUAACUACGUG